AGAGUUUGAUCCUGGCUCAGAGCGAACGCUGGCGGCGUGCUUAACACAUGCAAGUCGAGUGCGCGCCCGUAGCAAUACGGGUGGCGCACGGCGCACGGGUGCGUAACACGUGGGUAACCUGCCCUUUGAUGGGGAAUAACCCCGCGAAAGCGGGGCUAAUUCCGCAUAAGAUCCGCAAGGAUGAAAGCCGUAAGGCGUCGAAGGAGGGGCCUGCGCACGAUUAGCUAGUUGGUAGGGUAACGGCCUACCAAGGCUUUGAUCGUUAGCUGGUCUGAGAGGAUGGCCAGCCACACUGGAACUGAGACACGGUCCAGACUCCUACGGGAGGCAGCAGUGGGGAAUCUUGCACAAUGGGCGAAAGCCUGAUGCAGCGACGCCGCGUGGGGGAUGAAGCUUCUCGGAGUGUAAACCCCUUUCGACCCGGACGAAUACCUCGCAAGAGGGGUGACGGUACGGGUAUAAGAAGCCCCGGCUAACUACGUGCCAGCAGCCGCGGUAAGACGUGGGGGGCCAGCGUUGCUCGGAAUUACUGGGUGUAAAGGGUCAGUAGGCGGUGUGGCAAGUCGGGAGUGAAAUCUCUGGGCUUAACUCAGAGACUGCUUCCGAAACUGCUGUGCUUGAGUGUGGGAGAGGCGCGUGGAAUUGCAGGUGUAGCGGUGAAAUGCGUAGAUAUCUGCAGGAACACCCGUGGCGAAAGCGGCGCGCUGGACCACAACUGACGCUGAAUGACGAAAGCUAGGGGAGCAAACAGGAUUAGAUACCCUGGUAGUCCUAGCCCUAAACGAUCAGGACUUGGGGUGCCACCCGUUCGGGUGUCGUCCCGGAGCUAACGCGUUAAGUCCUGCACCUGGGGAGUACGGUCGCAAGACUGAAACUCAAAGGAAUUGACGGGGCCCGCACAAGCGGUGGAACAUGUGGUUCAAUUCGACGCUACGCGAGGAACCC
This 945-nucleotide ribosomal RNA is filed under the name uncultured bacterium. RNAcentral describes it as "bacterial SSU rRNA". It matches the Rfam family "Bacterial small subunit ribosomal RNA", at positions 8 to 971 of the family's 1533-position model. The record is from RNAcentral.